AACGCACCUUGCGCUCGCUGGUAUUCCGGCGAGCAUGCCUGUUUGAGUGUCAUGAACUCUUCAACCCUUCGGUUCCUUGUUGAACUUGUGAGGUGUUUGGAUUUUGAAUGUUGCUGGUCCUUCUUUCUUCGGAAUUAGGGCGAAGCUCGUUCGUAAUACAUUAGCAUCUACUGAAUCUUGAUUCGGAUUGACUCGGCGUAAUAGACUUUUAUUCGCUGAGGACACUUUGAAAGAGGUGGCCGAAUCUAAACCCAAGUUGAAGCUUCUAAAAGCAGUCUACUAUUUUUAUAAGAUUAGACCUCAGAUCAGGCAGGACUACCCGCUGAACUUAA
RNAcentral lists this unclassified non-coding RNA (332 nucleotides) under uncultured fungus. Its description in RNAcentral is "partial contains 5.8S ribosomal RNA, internal transcribed spacer 2, and large subunit ribosomal RNA". The stretch from base 1 to 52 matches the Rfam family "5.8S ribosomal RNA", at positions 103 to 154 of the family's 154-position model. The record is from RNAcentral. Lineage: Eukaryota; Fungi.